RNAcentral lists this ribosomal RNA (309 nucleotides) under uncultured eukaryote. RNAcentral's name for it is "partial 18S ribosomal RNA". It matches the Rfam family "Eukaryotic small subunit ribosomal RNA", at positions 1470 to 1796 of the family's 1831-position model. The record is from RNAcentral.
CCCUUAGAUGUUCUGGGCGGCCCGCGCACUACAUUGGCACUAGCAAAGAGAUCCUAGAUUGAAUUCUUUGGGGUAUUCUUCUAAAUGGUGUCGUGACUGGGAUAAAUCCUUGUAAUUAUUGGUUUUGAACGAGGAAUUCCUUGUAAUCGCGGUUUAUCAGCUCGCGUUGAAUGCGUCCCUGCCCUUUGUACACCCCGCCCGUCGCUCCUACCGAUGGAUCGUCCGGUGAAGCUCACGGAGUGACUGUUCACGCAACGGUUUACGAAGUGAAAUGGACCUCACGAUUUAGAGGAAGGAGAAGUCGUAACA